This is a non-coding RNA of Acanthosepion pharaonis, 113 nucleotides long. The record is from the annotation of a GenBank genome assembly. Lineage: Eukaryota; Metazoa; Mollusca; Cephalopoda; Sepiida; Sepiidae.
UUACGAUCACAUCACCUUGAAACACAGGUUACCGUACGAUUACCGAAAUUAAGCAACGUCAAGCCUGGUUAGUACCUAAAUGGGUGACUGCAUGGAAAAACCAGUGGCUGUAA